RNAcentral lists this ribosomal RNA (669 nucleotides) under Triticum aestivum (bread wheat). Its description in RNAcentral is "partial small subunit ribosomal RNA". Lineage: Eukaryota; Viridiplantae; Streptophyta; Magnoliopsida; Poales; Poaceae. The record is from RNAcentral.
AUGUCGACCAACGUGGACAGCGUCUCCGCCUCCACCAUCACCACCACGGCAACCAAGUGCCAUUCCCACAUCCUCACAAUCCAAGGGUACUCGCAGACCAAAUUGUUCGCCGAUGGCUCGUCGUUGAAAUCCAAAACGUUCGAGGCGGGUGAUUACACCUGGUGCAUCUUGUUCUACCCCAACGGGUCAUCCGCCGCCGCCGACCAUAUCUGCCUCGCCCUCGGCCUCGCCGACAGCUGCGACCGCACCGUCAGUGUCCAUGCCCGGUUCACUAUUGUCCCUCACCACGGCCGGCCGGCUCCGGCGACAACCUACUGCAGCAGCUUCCGGUCGAACUUCCGUCAUAUGGGUGACAAUCAUCGUGAUCCGCCCAGUCCAUUGAUCAAGAGGGCAGAGCUCGAAGGAUCCGAGUACCUCGUGGACGAUGGUUUCGCCGUCCGGUGUGAUGUCACCGUUGUCACCGCACGGUUGCGUAGUGAUGGGGCCGUGCAGCCGCGUGACCUAGAGAGGGCGGGAAUAGCCUGCAGCUGCAAGGACCAACUCUGCAAACGUCGCCACGCAUCAAGCUGGGAAUCAUCCACGUCCGAGACGACGCCACCGCCACCGCGUCGCCGCCGUACGGGGAUUAAAGCGGCGUGGUUCCGGCUCAUCAGGCGCACACUGCCAUGA